CGGUCCGGUUGAUACUUCAAGGGAGAUUUUGAAGUAUGAAUCGGAUCGGUGCCGCAGCAAACGCGAUAAGUGCACCGCCUGGGGAGUAUGCCCGCAAGGGUGAAACUCAAAGGAAUUGACGGGGGCCCGCACAAGCGGUGGAGCAUGUGGUUUAAUUCGAUGAUACGCGAGGAACCUUACCAGGGCUUGACAUAUACAGGAAUGUUAUAGAGAUAUAGCAGCUGCUUGCAGUCUGUAUACAGGUGCUGCAUGGUUGUCGUCAGCUCGUGCUGUGAAGUGUUGGGUUAAGUCCCGCAACGAGCGCAACCCCUGCUGUCUGUUACCAUCAUUAAGUUGGGGACUCAGACGGUACUGCCGGUGACAAACCGGAGGAAGGUGGGGACGACGUCAAAUCAUCAUGGCCCUUAUGUCCUGGGCUACACACGUGCUACAAUGGUCGGUACAGAGUGAAGCGAAGCCGCGAGGUGGAGCAAAUCGCUGAAAGCCGGCCUCAGUUCGGAUUGAAGUCUGAAACUCGACUUCAUGAAGGUGGAAUCGCUAGUAAUCGCGCAUCAGCAUGGCGCGGUGAAUACGUUCCCGGGCCUUGUACACACCGCCCGUCACACCACCCGAGUUGGGGGUACCCGAAGUCACUAGUCUAACCAGCAAUGGGGGACGGUGCCGAAGGUAUGCCUGGUAAGGGGGGUGAAGUCGUAACAAGGUAGCCG
RNAcentral lists this ribosomal RNA (707 nucleotides) under uncultured bacterium. RNAcentral describes it as "bacterial SSU rRNA". It matches the Rfam family "Bacterial small subunit ribosomal RNA", at positions 791 to 1502 of the family's 1533-position model. The record is from RNAcentral.